This 1378-nucleotide ribosomal RNA is filed under the name Gyrophaena sp. BMNH742984. RNAcentral's name for it is "SSU rRNA". It matches the Rfam family "Eukaryotic small subunit ribosomal RNA", at positions 3 to 1281 of the family's 1831-position model. Lineage: Eukaryota; Metazoa; Arthropoda; Insecta; Coleoptera; Staphylinidae. The record is from RNAcentral.
CCUGGUUGAUCCUGCCAGUAGUCAUAUGCUUGUCUCAAAGAUUAAGCCAUGCAUGUCUCAGUACAAGCCAAAUUAAGGUGAAACCGCGAAAGGCUCAUUAAAUCAGUUAUGGUUCCUUAGAUUGUACCCACUUUUACUUGGAUAACUGUGGUAAUUCUAGAGCUAAUACAUGCAAACAGAGUUCCGACCGGAGACGGAAGGAGCGCUUUUAUUAGAUCAAAACCAAUCGGUGCUGCGGUGGCGUUCGCGUUUGCCGUAGUAUCGUACAAAAUUUGGUGACUCUGAAUAACUUUUUGCUGAUCGCACGGUCUCGCACCGGCGACGCAUCUUUCAAAUGUCUGCCUUAUCAACUGUCGAUGGUAGGUUCUGCGCCUACCAUGGUUGUAACGGGUAACGGGGAAUCAGGGUUCGAUUCCGGAGAGGGAGCCUGAGAAACGGCUACCACAUCCAAGGAAGGCAGCAGGCGCGCAAAUUACCCACUCCCGGCACGGGGAGGUAGUGACGAAAAAUAACGAUACGGGACUCAUCCGAGGCCCCGUAAUCGGAAUGAGUACACUCUAAACCUUUUAACAAGGAUCAAUUGGAGGGCAAGUCUGGUGCCAGCCGCCGCGGUAAUUCCAGCUCCAAUAGCGUAUAUUAAAGUUGUUGCGGUUAAAAAGCUCGUAGUCGAAUCUGUGUCCCGCGCCGCUGGUUCAUCGCUCGCGGUGCCAACUGGCGUGUUCGCGGGACGUCCUGCCGGUGGGCUCAUCGAAUUGAUUGCUUCGGCGGUCGUUCGUGGCCCAACUCGUAGCCGUCUCGUACGGUUGCGAAUCCCAUCGCGGUGCUCUUUACUGAGUGUCGAGGYGGGCCGGCACGUUUACUUUGAACAAAUUAGAGUGCUUAAAGCAGGCCAAUUUUGCCUGAAUAUUGUGUGCAUGGAAUAAUGGAAUAGGACCUCGGUUCUAUUUUGUUGGUUUUCGGAACCCCGAGGUAAUGAUUAAUAGGAACGGAUGGGGGCAUUCGUAUUGCGACGUUAGAGGUGAAAUUCUUGGAUCGUCGCAAGACGGACAGAAGCGAAAGCAUUUGCCAAAAACGUUUUCAUUGAUCAAGAACGAAAGUUAGAGGUUCGAAGGCGAUCAGAUACCGCCCUAGUUCUAACCAUAAACGAUGCCAGCUAGCGAUCCGCCGACGUUCCUCCGAUGACUCGGCGGGCAGCUUCCGGGAAACCAAAGCUUUUGGGUUCCGGGGGAAGUAUGGUUGCAAAGCUGAAACUUAAAGGAAUUGACGGAAGGGCACCACCAGGAGUGGAGCCUGCGGCUUAAUUUGACUCAACACGGGGAACCUCACCAGGCCCAGACACCGGAAGGAUUGACAGAUUGAGAGCUCUUUCUUAAUUCGG